This 217-nucleotide non-coding RNA is filed under the name Caballeronia concitans. RNAcentral's name for it is "Burkholderia sRNA Bp1_Cand871_SIPHT". It matches the Rfam family "Burkholderia sRNA Bp1_Cand871_SIPHT". The record is from Rfam by way of RNAcentral. Lineage: Bacteria; Pseudomonadati; Pseudomonadota; Betaproteobacteria; Burkholderiales; Burkholderiaceae.
UCGCCCACAAUCUGUUGAAACGGUUUCAACACGGAUGGGAUCGGGCGCGCAGUGCAAAUAUCGCGUGUCUCGAUGGUCGGCAAGGUUCGAAGCUCUUUUCAGGGGCAUCCGUGUUGGGAUCGUUCUUCGAUUUGGUAUCGAAGUCUCCCACAGUUGGUCUCCUCGCGCUAACCCCGUAGCGUGUGGUUUUUAGCGGGCUCCAGGCCCGCUUUUUUUU